This 509-nucleotide ribosomal RNA is filed under the name Shigella flexneri. RNAcentral describes it as "partial 23S ribosomal RNA". It matches the Rfam family "Bacterial large subunit ribosomal RNA", at positions 2380 to 2883 of the family's 2925-position model. The record is from RNAcentral. Lineage: Bacteria; Pseudomonadati; Pseudomonadota; Gammaproteobacteria; Enterobacterales; Enterobacteriaceae.
CGUGACGGCGCGAGCAGGUGCGAAAGCAGGUCAUAGUGAUCCGGUGGUUCUGAAUGGAAGGGCCAUCGCUCAACGGAUAAAAGGUACUCCGGGGAUAACAGGCUGAUACCGCCCAAGAGUUCAUAUCGACGGCGGUGUUUGGCACCUCGAUGUCGGCUCAUCACAUCCUGGGGCUGAAGUAGGUCCCAAGGGUAUGGCUGUUCGCCAUUUAAAGUGGUACGCGAGCUGGGUUUAGAACGUCGUGAGACAGUUCGGUCCCUAUCUGCCGUGGGCGCUGGAGAACUGAGGGGGGCUGCUCCUAGUACGAGAGGACCGGAGUGGACGCAUCACUGGUGUUCGGGUUGUCAUGCCAAUGGCACUGCCCGGUAGCUAAAUGCGGAAGAGAUAAGUGCUGAAAGCAUCUAAGCACGAAACUUGCCCCGAGAUGAGUUCUCCCUGACCCUUUAAGGGUCCUGAAGGAACGUUGAAGACGACGACGUUGAUAGGCCGGGUGUGUAAGCGCAGCGAUG